GAUGAAGAACGCAGCGAAAUGCGAUAAGUAAUGUGAAUUGCAGAAUUCAGUGAAUCAUCGAAUCUUUGAACGCACAUUGCGCCCGCUAGUAUUCUGGCGGACAUGCCUGUCCGAGCGUCAUUUCAACCCUCAAGCCCCCGGGCUUGGUGUUGGGGAUCGGCGAGCCUCCGCGCCCGCCGUCCCCUAAAUCUAGUGGCGGUCUCGCUGUAGCUUCCUCUGCGUAGUAGCACACCUCGCACUGGGAAACAGCGCGGCCACGCCGUUAAACCCCCAACUUCUGAACGUUUGACCUCGGAUCAGGUAGGAAUACCCGCUGAACUUAAGCAUAUCAAUAAGCGGAGGA
RNAcentral lists this unclassified non-coding RNA (343 nucleotides) under soil metagenome. Its description in RNAcentral is "partial contains 5.8S ribosomal RNA, internal transcribed spacer 2, and large subunit ribosomal RNA". The stretch from base 1 to 120 matches the Rfam family "5.8S ribosomal RNA", at positions 35 to 154 of the family's 154-position model. The record is from RNAcentral.